AUUGAACGCUGGCGGCAUGCUUUACACAUGCGAGUCGAACGGUAACAGGGAGCUUGCUCCGCUGACGAGUGGCGAACGGGUGAGUAAUAUAUCGGAACGUACCCAAGAGUGGGGGAUAACGUAGCGAAAGUUACGCUAAUACCGCAUACGAUCUAUGGAUGAAAGCAGGGGACCUUCGGGCCUUGUGCUCCUGGAGCGGCCGAUAUCUGAUUAGCUAGUUGGUGAGGUAAAGGCUCACCAAGGCGACGAUCAGUAGCUGGUCUGAGAGGACGACCAGCCACACUGGAACUGAGACACGGUCCAGACUCCUACGGGAGGCAGCAGUGGGGAAUGUUGGACAAUGGGCGCAAGCCUGAUCCAGCAAUGCCGCGUGAGUGAAGAAGGCCUUCGGGUUGUAAAGCUCUUUUGUCAGGGAAGAAACGGCUGUGGCUAAUAUCCACGGCUAAUGACGGUACCUGAAGAAUAAGCACCGGCUAACUACGUG
This 484-nucleotide ribosomal RNA is filed under the name uncultured bacterium. RNAcentral describes it as "partial 16S ribosomal RNA". It matches the Rfam family "Bacterial small subunit ribosomal RNA", at positions 30 to 507 of the family's 1533-position model. The record is from RNAcentral.